AUUUAUUUAGUAUAAUUAAUUAUUACACUUAAUUUCCAAUUAAAAAAUUUAAAAAACUUAAAAUAAAUA
This 69-nucleotide transfer RNA is filed under the name Cleptes metallicorpus. Its description in RNAcentral is "tRNA-Gly". The record is from RNAcentral. Lineage: Eukaryota; Metazoa; Arthropoda; Insecta; Hymenoptera; Chrysididae.